This 410-nucleotide ribosomal RNA is filed under the name uncultured microorganism. RNAcentral describes it as "bacterial SSU rRNA". It matches the Rfam family "Bacterial small subunit ribosomal RNA", at positions 509 to 917 of the family's 1533-position model. The record is from RNAcentral.
CAGCCGCCGCGGUAAUACGUAGGGUGCGAGCGUUCCUCGGAUUUACUGGGCGUAAAGCGUGCGCAGGCGGCCCGUUAAGACAGGUGUGAAAUCCCUGGGCUCAACCUAGGAAUUGCGCUUGUGACUGGCGGGCUCGAGUACGGUAGAGGGGGGUGGAAUUCCUGGUGUAGCAGUGAAAUGCGUAGAGAUCAGGAGGAACACCGAUGGCGAAGGCAGCCCCCUGGGCCUGUACUGACGCUCAUGCACGAAAGCGUGGGGAGCAAACAGGAUUAGAUACCCGGGUAGUCCACGCCCUAAACGAUGGGUACUAGCCGUUUGGUGCGCGAUAGCGCUGAGUGGCGAAGCUAACGCGUGAAGUACCCCGCCUGGGGAGUACGGCCGCAAGGUUGAAACUUAAAGGAAUUGGCGGG